AUUCAGUCGACGAAUCCCAAAUAGGACGAAACGCGCUUCCUGGAU
RNAcentral lists this non-coding RNA (45 nucleotides) under Schistosoma mansoni. Lineage: Eukaryota; Metazoa; Platyhelminthes; Trematoda; Strigeidida; Schistosomatidae. The record is from RNAcentral.